RNAcentral lists this ribosomal RNA (398 nucleotides) under uncultured bacterium. RNAcentral describes it as "bacterial SSU rRNA". It matches the Rfam family "Bacterial small subunit ribosomal RNA", at positions 357 to 772 of the family's 1533-position model. The record is from RNAcentral.
GGGAAUCUUAGACAAUGGGGGAAACCCUGAUCUAGCCAUGCCGCGUGAGCGAUGAAGGCCUUAGGGUUGUAAAGCUCUUUCGCCUGGGAAGAUAAUGACGGUACCAGGUAAAGAAGCCCCGGCUAACUCCGUGCCAGCAGCCGCGGUAAUACGGAGGGGGCUAGCGUUGUUCGGAAUUACUGGGCGUAAAGCGCACGUAGGCGGAUCGGAAAGUUGGGGGUGAAAUCCCGGGGCUCAACCCCGGAACUGCCUCCAAAACUAUCGGUCUUGAGUUCGAGAGAGGUGAGUGGAAUUCCGAGUGUAGAGGUGAAAUUCGUAGAUAUUCGGAGGAACACCAGUGGCGAAGGCGGCUCACUGGCCCGAUCCUGACGCUGAGGCGCGAAAGCGUGGGGAGCAAA